AAUCCAUGCAUAGGACAUUUCUUAAGAAAAUCUUUGAACCUUUCCCAUGUUUCAUACAAUGUUUCAUCCUCUAGUUUCUUGAAGGAUGUUAGUCAUUUCUCAGUUU
This 106-nucleotide small nucleolar RNA is filed under the name Gossypium hirsutum (cotton). Its description in RNAcentral is "Plant small nucleolar RNA R71". It matches the Rfam family "Plant small nucleolar RNA R71". Rfam says of the family: R71 is a member of the C/D box family of snoRNAs containing the C (UGAUGA) and D (CUGA) box motifs. The record is from Rfam by way of RNAcentral. Lineage: Eukaryota; Viridiplantae; Streptophyta; Magnoliopsida; Malvales; Malvaceae.